CCUGAACGCUGGCGGCGUGGCUAAGACAUGCAAGUCGCACGGGGUAGCAAUACCCAGUGGCGGACGGGUGAGUAAUUUAUCGCUAAUGUACCCUCGAGCCAGGGAUAGCUGUCCGAAAGGGCAGGUAAUACCUGAUGAUAUAACUGUGUCGCAUGACAUGGUUCUCAAAGCAGCAAUGCACUCCUGGAGCAGGCGAUAUCGUANCAGCUAGUUGGUGAGGUAACGGCUCACCAAGGCUAUGACGCGUAGCUGGUCUGAGAGGACGAUCAGCCACAUCGGGACUGAGACACUGCCCGGACUCCGUACGGGGGCUGCAGUAACGAAUCUUCCACAAUGCACGAAGUGUGAUGGAGCGACGCCGCGUGUAGGAUGAAGUUCUUCGGAAU
RNAcentral lists this ribosomal RNA (386 nucleotides) under uncultured bacterium. RNAcentral's name for it is "bacterial SSU rRNA". It matches the Rfam family "Bacterial small subunit ribosomal RNA", at positions 30 to 424 of the family's 1533-position model. The record is from RNAcentral.